ACGUCCGAGUUACGGGCGGCUAUAUCUUGUGUAUUAUUUGUGAUUUUCCCAUCAUGGAAAUUUACUAGCGACAGAGGGUUGAUCAUCACAUCGACGCCUACGUGCUGAUCCGAGGGGGUCAUUAUUUUCGUUUGUGUAUUUUCGUACACAGGUGAAAAUUAUCUUGAAGGUUGCGAGGAGGAACAAGGGGGAAAACUGUUGAUCAAGCAUCGCAGUGAAAGAUCGGGCCAUCUACACGCGUGAAUUAGCAUCUCGCUAGUCCGCGCCUCAUCAACAAGUCCUUUCAAACACCUAAAUGUCAAUACCGAAAGGUUUAAAUUUGCCAUAGUGAUGAUUUAACCCUUCUCCCAUGUAUGCAUGUUUGUAGGAUUUCUAUACAUGCAUUGAUGGUCAGAAGGAUCGUGCAAAUGUGGUGAUUGAGAAUAUUGCCAAGAAACUAGUCCACGACAUGCACUAUGAGGAGCGCGUCCAGUUAGUGGUCAAGUAUCACGCGGACUAUCUCAACCAUAGGAUUUCCAAACAGAAGGCUCGAGGGACGCAUCUUUCACGGGACAAUUACUUCAAGGCAAGUGACGAUGGAUGCUUGCUAUUCCCUACCUUGCCGCAAAAUUAGAAUCCUUACUAAGAUGUAUUUGUUUAAUUUACAAGUGAUUCCUUGGUGGUGCGCUGACAAACGCCCGUGCUGGGAGAAGAUCGUCGAACGGUGGACAGAUCCAGGGUGGCAGGAUUAACACAAAGCAAUAUCUAAAUGGCGUAAGUUGAUGGGGGUCGAGGACACCGUCAAGGCAACCUCACCAUCCCAGGUGUCGUCUCAAAACAUACACUGGCAAGGAUAUCACUUACUUCGAGGCAUGGACCAUCAAAUGUACCAAAGACGACAAGGACAAGGACCCUGUCCACCCGGAGAGGGACUGGAUCAGCUCUAAAGCCGGUCAGAUGGAGAGAAAUACACCAAAAAAUUGAAGGAGACGUAUGGGCCUGACGUUGAUCCUCACGUGCUACCGUUUGACCCUCUUGUGGCCAUUGCCGUGGCAGGCGGUAGACCGAAUGGCCGGAUGGCGGUUCACCUCGAUUCUGUCAUAACCUCCUCCCUUUCGAGAGUCAACACGCUCCGUGCUAUGAGUACUGGCUCUACUCCUACCGUAGAGCGUCACGUACCACAUUCCGUGAGCAUUAUUAAGGAUAUUCAGACUCGACUGAUUGACACCAAGAAAGAACGAGAUGAAAACCGGGCCAAGCUGAAGGCACAAGAUGAUCUAGUGAAGUCUUUACAACAUAUGGUGGCCAAUCUUUAUUCCAUGCAAGGCCAACCAGUGCCAGAGAUGCCACCGAUG
This is a non-coding RNA of Triticum urartu, 1334 nucleotides long. NCBI's taxonomy places the organism in Eukaryota, Viridiplantae, Streptophyta, Magnoliopsida, Poales, Poaceae. The record is from RefSeq and is a predicted model, not a curated record.